GGUUCAGAAUCAACGCUGGCGGCGUGCAUAACACAUGCAAGUCGAACGAGAAAGCGGGGGCAACUCCGUUAGUAAAGUGGCAGACGGGUGAGUAACACGUGAACAACCUACCCUCGAGUGGGGAAUAACCCCGCGAAAGCGGGGCUAAUACCUCAUAACAUCUUCGGUUCGCAUGAACCGAAGAUCAAAGGCUCCGGCCGCUCGGAGAGGGGUUCGCGCCUGAUUAGCUAGUUGGUGAGGUAACGGCCCACCAAGGCAACGAUCAGUAGCCGGCCUGAGAGGGCGUACGGCCACACUGGAACUGAGACACGGUCCAGACUCCUACGGGAGGCAGCAGUGGGGAAUUUUGCGCAAUGGGCGAAAGCCUGACGCAGCAACGCCGCGUGGAGGAUGAAGGCCUUCGGGUCGUAAACUCCUGUCAGUAGGGACGAAUGCCUCGAAAGAGGUUUGACUGUACCUGCUGAGGAAGCCACGGCUAACUCCGUGCCAGCCGCAGC
RNAcentral lists this ribosomal RNA (497 nucleotides) under uncultured bacterium. RNAcentral describes it as "bacterial SSU rRNA". It matches the Rfam family "Bacterial small subunit ribosomal RNA", at positions 21 to 518 of the family's 1533-position model. The record is from RNAcentral.